Molecule: ribosomal RNA, 305 nt
Filed under: uncultured bacterium
Lineage: Bacteria
Description: bacterial SSU rRNA
Rfam family: Bacterial small subunit ribosomal RNA
Source: RNAcentral
CCUACGGGAGGCAUCAGUGGUUUAUAUUUCACAAUUUUUUUCCCCCUGAUGCAGCGACGCCGCGUGGGUGAAGAAGCGCCUCGGCGCGUAAAGCCCUGUCAGCAGGGAAGAAAAUGACGGUACCUGAAGAAGAAGCCCCGGCUAACUACGUGCCAGCAGCCGCGGUAAUACGUAGGGGGCAAGCGUUAUCCGGAUUUACUGGGUGUAAAGGGGGCGCAGACGGCGAUGCAAGCCAGGAGUGAAAGCCCGGGGCCCAACCCCGGGACUGCUCUUGGAACUACGUGGCUGGAGUGCAGGAGGGGCAG